AGAGAAAUCUAUAGACACUCUAUAUAAUCACACAAUUAGCUUGCGCAUAUCUAAAACUGUCUUUAUUUUCUUCUCAAAGCAUCUCCCUUGUCACUCUUCACCAGCUGUGCUUCCAGCGGCAGCGUGAGGCAUGCAGGCUUAUUAGGCCUUCACUUCUAUCUGAAGGAAUGCUGGAGCUGCAAGCAGACCAUUAGAGCUUUAUUGGAAAGGGGUUCGAAACUCUUGUGCAAUUAUCGGCCGCAUCAAAACACAGAGGCAGCGUUGGAUUCCCUGCGAGGUCGAGACUGAGGCGAUGUUGGUCAAGGAUUUAGCUGCCAAAUUCUAUUUAUUUUUCGUGUUGGCUGAGAUGGGAGAUUACGCUUGUUUGUUUGCUGUUUUGUAAAGACAAACAUUAUUUCUAUCAUUGGUGGAUGCAUUGCAAAAGAUGAGAGCUAAAUUGAUAUAAGGAACUGUUGAUAAUGCCCAGUCUGUGAUACCAUCACAACAU
Long non-coding RNA from Cyprinus carpio carpio, 487 nucleotides. NCBI's taxonomy places the organism in Eukaryota, Metazoa, Chordata, Actinopteri, Cypriniformes, Cyprinidae. The record is from Ensembl.